Molecule: non-coding RNA, 31 nt
Filed under: Homo sapiens (human)
Lineage: Eukaryota; Metazoa; Chordata; Mammalia; Primates; Hominidae
Source: RNAcentral
GAGGUAGAUUCAUUGGCACAGGAAGGCCCCC